This 422-nucleotide ribosomal RNA is filed under the name uncultured bacterium. RNAcentral's name for it is "partial 16S ribosomal RNA". It matches the Rfam family "Bacterial small subunit ribosomal RNA", at positions 360 to 774 of the family's 1533-position model. The record is from RNAcentral.
AAUCUUCCACAAUGGACGAAAGUCUGAAGGAGCAACGCCGCGUGAGUGAAGAAGGUUUUCGGUUCGUAAAGCUCUGCUGUAAGGGAAGAACAAGUACAGGAGUCACUGUCUGUACCUUGCCGGUACCUUAUCAGAAAGCCUCGGCUCACUCCGUGCCAGCAGCCGCGCUAAUACGUAGGUGGCAAGCGUUGUCCGGAAUUAUUGGGAGUAAAGCGCGCGCAGGCGGUCCUUUAAGUCUGAUGUGAAAGCCCACGGCUCAACCGUGGAGGGUCAUUGGAAACUGGAGGACUUGAGUACAGAAGAGGAAAGCGGAAUUCCACGUGUAGCGGUGAAAUGCGUAGAGAUGUGGAGGAACACCAGUGGCGAAGGCGGCUUUCUGGUCUGUAACUGACGCUGAGGCGCGAAAGCGUGGGGAGCAAACA